Molecule: ribosomal RNA, 3213 nt
Filed under: Silene latifolia
Lineage: Eukaryota; Viridiplantae; Streptophyta; Magnoliopsida; Caryophyllales; Caryophyllaceae
Description: bacterial LSU rRNA
Rfam family: Eukaryotic large subunit ribosomal RNA (bases 381-2328)
Source: RNAcentral
ACUCUCGGCAACGGAUAUCUCGGCUCUCGCAUCGAUGAAGAACGUAGCGAAAUGCGAUACUUGGUGUGAAUUGCCAGAAUCCCGUGAACCAUCGAGUUUUUGAACGCAAGUUGCGCCCGAAGCUUCGGCUGAGGGCACGUCUGCCUGGGCGUCACGCAUCGCGUCUCCCACAAACCCACCCCGAGUGAGGGGAAGGAGGAUGGUCUCCCGUGGCUCACCGGUCGCGGCUGGCCUAAAAUUGGAGCCCUCGGCAUCGGGAUGCCGCGGCGAUAGGUGGUGAACAAGGCCUCGGCCGAGCAAGCAACCCCGUCGCGUGUCGCGGUGCCAAGGAGAGCUCGAAGGACCCUUUGACGUUGCCUUGUUGCAACCCAAAACCGUUGCGACCCCAGGUCAGCGGGCUACCGCUGAAUUUAAAGCAUAUCAAUAAGCGGAGGAAAAAGAAACUUACAAGGAUUCCCCUAGUAACGGCGAGCGAACCGGGAAUAGCCCAGCUUUGAAAUCGGGCGGCCUUGCCGUCCGAAUUGUAGUCUGGAGAAGCGUCCUCUGCGGCGGACCGGGCUCAAGUCCCCUGGAAAGGGGCGCCAGAGAGGGUGAGAGCCCCGUCGUGCCCGGACCCUGUCGCUCCACGAGGCGCUGUCACCGAGUCGGGUUGUUUGAGAAUGCAGCCCCAAGCGGGCGGUAAAUUCCGUCCAAGGCUAAAUACAGGCGAGAGACCGAUAGCGAACAAGUAGCCGCGAGGAAAGAUGAAAAAGGACUUUGAAAAGAGAGUCAAAAGAGUGCUUGAAAUUGUCGGGGGGAGGGAAGCGGGAUGGGGCGGCCGAUGCGCGCUGUCGGAUUGGAAACGGUGUUAAGCCGGUCCGACCGAUCAGGCUCAUGGACGCGGACCGACUCGAUUGUGAUGGGCGCGAACCCGGCUUGCGGGGAGCGUCGUUCUCACCCCUCGAUUGUGGCAGGCACGCGCGCGCCUCACGGCGCGUUACAUUCUGCGCGCUCCGGGCGUCGGCCUGCGGGCUCCCAUUCGGCCCGUCUUGAAACACGGACCAAGGUAGUCUGACAUGUGCCCGAGUCAACGGGCUAGUAAACCCGUACGGCGUAAGGAAGCUAAGUUUGCGGGGAUCCCUUGCGGGGUGCACCGUUCGGACCGGACCUUGAUCUUCUGAGAAGGGUUCGGAGUGUGAGCAUACCUGUCGGACCCAAAGAUGGUGAACUAUGCCUGAGGCGGGGCGAAGCAGAGGAAACUCUGGUGGAGGGCCCCGAAGCGAUUACGACGUUGCAAAUCGUUCGGUCUGACCUUGGUAUAUUAUAGGGCGAAAGACUAAUCGAACCGUCUAUAGCUGGUUCCCUCCGAAUUUCCCUCAGGAUGCUGGGAGCUCAUUCACGAGUUCUAUCAGGUAAAGCCAAAUGAUUAGAGGCAUUCGGGGCGCAAGGCCCUCGGACCUGAUUCUCAAACUUUAAUGGGAUAGGACCGGUGCGGCUGACUUCGCUGAGCCGUCCCAAGGAAUCGAGACGCUCCAAGGGCGCAUUUUUGGUAACGGCAGAACUGGCAUGCGGGAUGAACCGGGAAGGCCGGGUUACGGUGCCCAACUGCCGCUAACUCUAGAUCCCACAAAGGGUGCUUGGGUCGAUUAAGACAGUCAGGAUCGGUGUUCGAUGGAAGGUCGAAAUCCGCUAAGGAGUGAUGUAAAACAACUCACCUGCGAAUCAACUAGGCCCCGAAAAAUGGGUGGCGCUGAAGCGGCGGACCUAUACCCGGCCGUCGGGGCAAGUGCCAGGCCCCGAUGAGUAGGAGGGCGCGGCGGUCGCCGUAAAACCUGUGGCGUGAUGCCCAGGGCGGAGGCGGCCGGUCGUGGCAGAUUUUGGUGGUAGUAGCAAAUAUUCAAAUGAGAAACUUUGAAGGGCCGAACGAGGAGAAAGGUGUCCAUGUGAACGGCACUUGCAACAUGCGGUUAGUCGAUCCAAGGGACGGGGUGGAAGCCCGUGAUUAGCGCGUUUCCGCGUACUCCGAAAGGGAAUCGGAGUAAAAUUCGCUGAACCGGGACACGGCGGUUGACGGCAACGUUUAGGGAGUCCGGAGACGGUCGGCGGGAGCCCGGGAAGAGUUACUCUUUUCUGUUUAACAGCCUGCCCACCCUGGAAUCGAUUAAUUCGGAGGUAGGUCCAGCGGUGGAAGAGACCGCCACUUCGCGUGGUGUCCGAUCGCGCUCCCCGGCGGCCCUUGAAAAUCCGAGGACCGAAUACCGACCUUGCCUGUCGUACUCCAUAACCGCAUCACGUUUUUUUCGGGAUUCCGGGGUCCCGAAAAAAAUCUCCGAAAUCGCAUAAGAAAGUUCCCGGGGUCAGAUAAAGCGGCCACGCAAAAUUUGAGCACCAACGGAAGACAUUUGGGGGUGCCGGUGGGCUAGAAACCGGGAUUUGUCGAAACCAACAAUUGCCGGGAAUCAUCGAUCAAUGAGAGAAGAAGGCGUGGGCACCAAAUGUCGGGAAUGAGCGUGCAUGGCUAGACCAUGGGGUACAAGUGCCGAGAAUAACAAAAAAUGACAAGGCAUAGUCACCCAAGUGACUGGAAUCGGCUAGGCCAUAAUGCGGCAAAUGCCUAGGCCAACGGCCACCAUGACCGGGCAUUGCCUUGGCCAUGAGCAGCAAUGGCUAGGCCAUGUGCGGCAAAUGCCUAGGCCACGGGCACAAUGACCGAGCAUUGCUUGGCCAUGUGCGGCAAUUGCCUAGGGCCACGGGCACAAUGACCGAGCAUUGGCUUGGCAAUGUGCGGCAAGUGCCUAGGCCAUGUGCGGCAAGUGGCUAGGCAAUGGCGGCAAGUGCCUAGGCCAUGGGCCAUGACCGAUCACGGCCUAGGCCAUGUGCGGCAAGUGCCUAGGCCACGGCUACCAUGACCGAGCAUCCUGCCUAGGCAUAUGCGGCAAAUGCCUAGGCCACGGCACCAUGACCGGCAUUGCUUUUGCCAUAGCAGCAUGGCUAGGCAUGGGCGGCAAAUGCCUAGGCCCACUGGGCACAAUGCCGAGGCAUUGCCUUGGCAUGGUGCGGCAAUUGCUACGGCCUCGGGCACAUGACCGAGCUAUGGCUUGGCAUGUGCGGCAAAGUGCCUAGGCCAUGGGCGGCAAGUGACCGAGCAAGUGCCUAUGCCAUGGGCACGCAAUGCACCGAGCAAUGCUAUGCAUGGGCCACCAUGACCGAGCAAUGCCUAUGCCAUGGGCACCA